GUGAAAUUUCGGAGCGCGUUCUGCGAAAUUUCGCAGUGCGUUGCGCAAAAUUAAGGACUGCUUUCUGCGAAAUUUCGGAAUGCGUUCUGCGAAAUUUCGAA
This 101-nucleotide microRNA precursor is filed under the name Branchiostoma floridae (Florida lancelet). RNAcentral's name for it is "microRNA bfl-mir-4895 precursor". The record is from miRBase by way of RNAcentral. Lineage: Eukaryota; Metazoa; Chordata; Leptocardii; Amphioxiformes; Branchiostomatidae.